CUACUGUUGAGGAGUCCCACAAUAGGACGAAUUGACCGUCCAGUAC
This 46-nucleotide non-coding RNA is filed under the name Schistosoma bovis. RNAcentral also lists the same sequence under 1 other name. Lineage: Eukaryota; Metazoa; Platyhelminthes; Trematoda; Strigeidida; Schistosomatidae. The record is from RNAcentral.